Long non-coding RNA from Helianthus annuus (common sunflower), 672 nucleotides. RefSeq lists it as uncharacterized. The transcript is spliced from 4 exons. Lineage: Eukaryota; Viridiplantae; Streptophyta; Magnoliopsida; Asterales; Asteraceae. The record is from RefSeq and is a predicted model, not a curated record.
AAACCAAUGCUGCCGCUUGAAAAACCCCUCCAACAACGUCGCCAAUCAAUGCUAAAUCUGAGUUUUGGGAGACGAAGCGUAGAUCGAGUUCCUUCGACAGAGAGACGGUGGUGUGUCACUCAACCACCAGUGAGGGCAAGCUUUCUAGCAGCGAUUAGGUGUCUCGAAGUGGUUGACGGCGGCGCUUAGGGCUCCGGCGUCCCUGGCUCUAUAUUAAGGUGGUCCCGGUUGUGAGUUUCGCCUUUUACCCUCAACGGCGAUAGGAGGAGGUUAUGGGGCUAAAAUCAGGAAUAGCAUAAGGCUGAGGAGGGUAACAUCGGUAAGCCUCACUGGCGUGGGAGGUGAAUUAGAGAUGUAGCCAAACCAUUUACACUUCAAGUAUUUUUAAUUAAGGGUUGGAUUGGAGCUGACUGAAGAUUUAUGAGUUUCAAGCAAUUUUUCUUUAACUGUAUGAACUGCACUUUGUGGGCGACUUGGCGGGUUAUUAUGUAAAACUAUGUAAGCAAAGAUAAUAUUGUCCUUAUAUAUGGGGUUUAGGUGAUUGAGAAGUGGUAGGUAGGUAUGGCUGGGAAAUCAAGCAUAGGGCUGCCAUGCCAAUGCUGCCUACUUGGCGGGUUAUUAUGUAAAACUAUGUAAGCAAAGAUAAUAUUGUCUUGGUUCGAACUUUAAUCU